UUUAAUUCGAAGCAACGCGAAGAACCUUCCAGGUCUUGACAUCCUUUGAAGCUUCUAGAGAUAGAAGUGUUCUCUUCGGAGACAAAGUGACAGGUGGUGCAUGGUCGUCGUCAGCUCGUGUCGUGAGAAGUUGGGUUAAGUCCCGCAACGAGCGCAACCCUUAUUGUUAGUUGCCAGCAUUCAGUUGGGCACUCUAGCGAGACUGCCGGUGACAAACCGGAGGAAGGCGGGGACGACGUCAGAUCAUCAUGCCCCUUAUGACCUGGGCUACACACGUGCUACAAUGGCGUAUACAACGAGUUGCCAACCCGCGAGGGUGAGCUAAUCUCUUAAAGUACGUCUCAGUUCGGACUGCAGUCUGCAACUCGACUGCACGAAGUCGGAAUCGCUAGUAAUCGCGGAUCAGCACGCCGCGGUGAAUACGUUCCCGGGUCUUGUACACACCGCCCGUCACACCAUGUGUAGUUUGUAAUGCCCAAAGCCGUGAGAGUUUACAUCCAGGGUCCAGGAUUUUUCUUU
Molecule: ribosomal RNA, 519 nt
Filed under: Leuconostoc lactis
Lineage: Bacteria; Bacillati; Bacillota; Bacilli; Lactobacillales; Lactobacillaceae
Description: bacterial SSU rRNA
Rfam family: Bacterial small subunit ribosomal RNA
Source: RNAcentral